AGUAAAGUCAGCUAAUUAAGCUUUUGGGCCCAUACCCCGAACAUGUUGGUUAGAUCCCUUCCCUUACUA
RNAcentral lists this transfer RNA (69 nucleotides) under Neoscopelus macrolepidotus. Its description in RNAcentral is "tRNA-Met". The record is from RNAcentral. Lineage: Eukaryota; Metazoa; Chordata; Actinopteri; Myctophiformes; Neoscopelidae.